RNAcentral lists this transfer RNA (74 nucleotides) under Corynebacterium sphenisci. RNAcentral's name for it is "tRNA-Ile". It matches the Rfam family "tRNA". Rfam says of the family: Transfer RNA (tRNA) molecules are approximately 80 nucleotides in length. Their secondary structure includes four short double-helical elements and three loops (D, anti-codon, and T loops). Lineage: Bacteria; Bacillati; Actinomycetota; Actinomycetes; Mycobacteriales; Corynebacteriaceae. RNAcentral also lists the same sequence under 1 other name. The record is from RNAcentral.
GCCCCCAUAGCUCAGUCGGUUAGAGCCGCGGACUCAUAAUCCGCUGGUCGCAGGUUCGAGCCCUGCUGGGGGCA